UCUCCGCUCUGUAACAGAUGAUGAUCUGCGACAGCGCGGGGAUCAAACAUGAUCAGAUACCCUGGUAGUUCUCUCCGUAAACGACGAGUGCUAACUGGUAGGUGGUCUCUGCUCCUUAGCGCUGCAGUUAACGCAUUAAGCACUCCGCCUGGGGAGUACGACCGCAAGGUUGAAAUUCAAAGGAAUUGACGGGGACCCGCACAAGCGGUGGAGCAUGUGGUUUAAUUCGAAGCAACGCGAAGAACCUUACCAAAUCUUGACAUCUUUUGACCCUUGUAGAGAUAGAAGUUUCCCCUUCGGGGGACAACGUGACAGGUCGCGCAUGGUUGUCGUCAGCUCGUGUCGUGAGAUGUUGGGUUAAGUCCCGCAAUGAGCGCAACCGUUAAGUUUAGUUCCCAUCAUUAAGUUGGGCACUCUAAGUAGACUGCCGGUGACAAACCGGAGGAAGGUGGGGAUGACGUCAAAUCAUCAUGCCCCUUAUGAUUUGGGCUACACACGUGC
Molecule: ribosomal RNA, 501 nt
Filed under: Staphylococcus hominis
Lineage: Bacteria; Bacillati; Bacillota; Bacilli; Caryophanales; Staphylococcaceae
Description: bacterial SSU rRNA
Rfam family: Bacterial small subunit ribosomal RNA
Source: RNAcentral